This 1240-nucleotide ribosomal RNA is filed under the name uncultured marine eukaryote. RNAcentral describes it as "SSU rRNA". It matches the Rfam family "Eukaryotic small subunit ribosomal RNA", at positions 580 to 1807 of the family's 1831-position model. The record is from RNAcentral.
UAAUUCCAGCUCCAAUAGCGUAUAUUAAAGUUGUUGCAGUUAAAAAGCUCGUAGUUGGAUUUCUGACAGCGCAGACCUCCCUCUCCAGGCCCUCUGCUUUCCUUCCUUCUGGGGAGGUUUGUGGGGGGAGAUGGGUGGGAAACGACGCGGUGUCAUCCUCUCGGAGACGUCAUGUGCUCUUAAUUGGGUGUGUGAGCCGGAUCCGGGAUCUUUACUUUGAAAAAAUUAGAGUGUUCAAAGCAGGCCUUCGCUUGAAUACAUUAGCAUGGAAUAAUAGAAUAGGACUUUGGUUCUGUUUUGUUGGUUUAUAGGACCGAAGUAAUGAUUAAUAGGGAUAGUUGGGGGCAUUAGUAUUUAAUUGUCAGAGGUGAAAUUCUUGGAUUUAUGAAAGACUAACAUCUGCGAAAGCAUUUGCCAAGGAUGUUUUCAUUAAUCAAGAACGAAAGUUAGGGGAUCGAAGACGAUCAGAUACCGUCGUAGUCUUAACCAUAAACUAUGCCGACUAGGGAUCGGUGGGUUCAUUUUAUAGGCCCAUCGGCACCUUAUGGGAAACCAAAGUUUUUGGGUUCCGGGGGGAGUAUGGUCGCAAGGCUGAAACUUAAAGGAAUUGACGGAAGGGCACCACCAGGAGUGGAGCCUGCGGCUUAAUUUGACCCAACACGGGAAAACUCACCAGGUCCAGACAUAGGAAGGAUUGACAGAUUGGGAGCUCUUUCUUGAUUCUAUGGUUGGUGGUGCAUGGCCGUUCUUAGUUGGUGGAGUGAUUUGUCUGGUUAAUUCCGUUAACGAACGAAACCUUAACCUGCUAAAUAGAGUUGCGAUUCUCGAAUCGUAGACUACUUCUUAGAGGGACUAUCGGCGUUUAGUCGGUGGAAGUUUGAGGCAAUAACAGGUCUGUGAUGCCCUUAGAUGUUCUGGGCUGCACGCGCGCUACACUGACGAGAGCAACGAGUGUACCUGCUCUGGAAAGAGUGGGCAAUCUUUUGAAAUCUCGUCGUGAUGGGGAUAGAUCUUUGUAAUUAUCGAUCUUGAACGAGGAAUUCCUAGUAAGCGCGAUUCAUCAAAUCGCGUUGAUUACGUCCCUGCCCUUUGUACACACCGCCCGUCGCUACUACCGAUUGAAUGGUUUAGUGAGGCCUCGGGAUUGACAAAUGGGAGUUAGCAAUAACUCCCUAUUGUUCGAGAACUUGGUCAAACUUGAUCAUUUAGAGGAAGUAAAAGUCGUAACAAGGUAGCCGUA